RNAcentral lists this ribosomal RNA (253 nucleotides) under uncultured bacterium. RNAcentral describes it as "partial 16S ribosomal RNA". It matches the Rfam family "Bacterial small subunit ribosomal RNA", at positions 524 to 776 of the family's 1533-position model. The record is from RNAcentral.
UACAGAGGUCUCAACCGUUGUUCGGAUUCAUUGGGCGUAAAGGGUGCGUAGGCGGUCGUGCAAGUCGGAUGUGAAAUCUCAGGGCUCAACCCUGAAACUGCAUUCGAUACUGCGCGGCUAGAGUGCUGGAGGGGAGACUGGAAUUUACGGUGUAGCAGUGAAAUGCGUAGAUAUCGUAAGGAAGACCAGUGGCGAAGGCGAGUCUCUGGACAGCAACUGACGCUGAGGCACGAAAGCGUGGGGAGCAAACAGG